Long non-coding RNA from Zea mays, 669 nucleotides. RefSeq lists it as uncharacterized. NCBI's taxonomy places the organism in Eukaryota, Viridiplantae, Streptophyta, Magnoliopsida, Poales, Poaceae. The transcript is spliced from 3 exons. The record is from RefSeq and is a predicted model, not a curated record.
AUGCUCAUGGCAGUUUCUGGCGCAGCUAGCCAAACGCAAUUAUCCGCACUCGCUUUCUGUGCACUAGUGGUGGUGGCGGCCGUGUCCUUGUCGGCUCGCUCGGCAGUCCGUCGUCCCCGCUCAAAUUGGAAGCUUUCCGGUGGUUACGCGGUACGGGCGGGGCGGCGGCGUCAUAUCUCUUUUCGAGGCACGACGAGGCGGUUGGAGGCUUGGAGCGUGUGAUUUGCAAGAGGACAGGACAGGACAGGAGAACGCCCAAGUUGAGGUUUGAGCGGCACACGUCGAUGAGAUUUUCUAGAAAUUCUGUUGAGGCAGUUAGCUGCUGGUGUCCAAUGCAGGAUGGCUGGCGGUCGAGACUGAAACCACGACGGCGGAGUGAACCAGCGAGCUCUCCGUCCGGUGGGUGGGUGCCGAUGCCUGUACUCCCCGGGCUUCAUGUCGAUUCAGGCGCUUGAGCUUGCUUUCCCGAACACAAAUGUUCAGUUUGCUAAUUACCUGGUUCGUUGUUUCUGUACAAAUAGAGUUUGGGUGAAGUCUGUUCACCAUGACACUCAGUUAUGGUAUUUGUGCCUUUUGACUAUUGGUUUGUUUGGUGUGAGAGUUGUAUUAUGAUGAAUACACAAUGUGAAGUUACAUAUUUGAUUCUGAGAAGCUUUAAUGUUGUAAAUA